UACGAAGGGGGCUAGCGUUGUUCGGAAUUACUGGGCGUAAAGGGCGCGUAGGCGGCUGUCCAAGUCAGAUGUGAAAGCCCUGGGCUUAACCCAGGAAGUGCAUUUGAAACUCACGAACUUGAGUCCCGGAGAGGAAGGCGGAAUUCUCGGUGUAGAGGUGAAAUUCGUAGAUAUCGAGAGGAACAUCGGUGGCGAAGGCGGCCUUCUGGACGGUGACUGACGCUGAGAUGCGAAAGCGUGGGGAGCAAACAGG
RNAcentral lists this ribosomal RNA (253 nucleotides) under uncultured bacterium. Its description in RNAcentral is "partial 16S ribosomal RNA". It matches the Rfam family "Bacterial small subunit ribosomal RNA", at positions 524 to 776 of the family's 1533-position model. The record is from RNAcentral.